RNAcentral lists this ribosomal RNA (468 nucleotides) under uncultured bacterium. Its description in RNAcentral is "partial 16S ribosomal RNA". It matches the Rfam family "Bacterial small subunit ribosomal RNA", at positions 28 to 507 of the family's 1533-position model. The record is from RNAcentral.
GACGAACGCUGGCGGCGUGCUUAACACAUGCAAGUCGAACGGACAGGCCCUGCUCUUGUGGGGUUCUCGUGUGGCGAACGGGUGAGUAACACGUGAGUAACCUGCCCCUGUCUUUGGGAUAACUUCACGAGACUGGGGCUAAUACCGGAUAGGAUCUCCUGCUGCAUGGUGUUGGUUGGUAAGUGUCGGCGGUUGGGGAUGGACUCGCGGCUUAUCAGCUUGUUGGUCGGGUAGUGGCUUACCAAGGCUUUGACGGGUAGCCGGCCUGAGCGGGUGACCGGCCACAUUGGGACUGAGAUACGGCCCAGACGCCGACGGGAGGCAGCAGUGGGGAAUAUUGCACAAUGGGCGGAAGCCUGAGGCAGCAACGCCGCGUGCGGGAUGACGGCCUUCGGGUUGUAAACCGCUUUCGCCUGUGACGAAGCGUGAGUGACGGUAAUGGGUAAAGAAGCACCGGCUAACUACGUG